RNAcentral lists this small nucleolar RNA (74 nucleotides) under Manihot esculenta (cassava). The record is from RNAcentral. Lineage: Eukaryota; Viridiplantae; Streptophyta; Magnoliopsida; Malpighiales; Euphorbiaceae.
CCUGUGCCAGUGAUGGUGUUAAAUAUACUCUGAGAUUUAUUGUCUAUGAAAAGAAUUUUGAUCUGAGGCAUUUA